This is a long non-coding RNA of Entelurus aequoreus (snake pipefish), 159 nucleotides long. RefSeq lists it as uncharacterized. The record is from RefSeq and is a predicted model, not a curated record. Lineage: Eukaryota; Metazoa; Chordata; Actinopteri; Syngnathiformes; Syngnathidae. The transcript is spliced from 3 exons.
CUCCGGCAUGGUACGUCUUCUCAUGUCCUCUGGUAGUUAUGUGCACACCUGCUCCAUGCCCCCGGCUGCCAGGGGCUAUGUGGUUGAAGAGCGGUCUAAAAAGAAUUCUGAGCUCUGCACGUCAGGAAGCGUGCCUGUUUCCCGAGAUUGAGCUGUGGG